GUCACACCCAACUGCCACAGAAUAUUCUGAUUCCAACAUUCUGUCCUGUUCCCGAUAAAGACAUAUUACUCAGAAACAUCCUUCUGCUGUUUGAAUAACAGAAGACAGAUAGCACCCCAUAUGUGUCUUGCUAUAUGUGCAGAAGUUCCUUCUGCUCCUAGAACCUCAACAUAGCUGUAGGAAUACAUUCAUGGCAACAGCCAGAUGCCAUAUUUGUGGCAAAGGUAUUGUCAUGUGGCUGUAGGACUGUUUGACCACUUUAAGGCAGUUCCUUGCUCCACCAGCCAAAGUCUCACCCCUUCCAGGAUGCAGAAGGUAGCAAGAAAGGAGAUGCUGUUGCCCAAACAACAGCCUGAGUCACUUGUAUCUUGACUGGGUGAACUUAUGCAUAACCCAAGAUAUUGCAAGAGGUCUCAUUUGACCUUACCUUUCCUUUCUUUAAUUGAUUUUGAAAUACUUUGGAUUCACCCUGAAAUGCUGUCAUCUCUGGGGUUGAUGGUAACAACUGGUGCAUAUCAGAACUAUGCAAGUUAGGUCAAUCAGUGAAAAAUAUCAUACUUCUUCAGAACUGCAGUGGAAAUUGUAGGUAGACAGAAUAUAAUUACCAAAAUGAAACGUAGUUAAACAAACCUAUUCUUGCAUGAAUUUCAGUAGGAUCUCUAACAAUCACAAGUUGUUAGGACCUUAGUUUUAUAUCUUAUUCAGAAGACAGUGCCUUCAAUAGUACAAUGCUCCUAACACCACAAUGAGGUGUUGGAUCAAUUAUGAUCGAAAAGGAAUACCAGUGGCUGAGUCACCAACACUACUUCUUCCUACAGCACCUGUGUUUUCCUUGUAGGUUUCCCAUCUAUGUAUUGACCAAGCCUGACCCUCCUUAUCUUGUGGGCACCAAAAUUUGCAGGAAUUCAGCAGCAGUGACACUGGCAGAAUUCAGUCAGUUUGAGCUCUGCACGGACUAUACUAAAGUCAAGGCCUAAAUGUUCACAAGUGUCCACUAAUUCUGAAUGCCUUCAAUUUUGGGUGUCCAUCUUCAGCCACAUGGGGCCAGAUUUUCAGAGGUGUGGGCCCAUGCAACUUCAUUUGGCUUCCACGGGGAGCUGUGAGUGCUCUGAAGAUCAGUCCCUAAUUCUCACAAAUUGGGCACCUAAAAAGCAAAGGUAUAUAAAAGUAGCAAAUACUUAACAAUAUAUAUGCCUUCCCAGAGAUGAUACAGCAAGUCAGUAGCAGAUCUGUGAAUGGAACCCUGGAGUAAAGAAUGCCAGUCCUGUGCUAAAACCAUUACUCACCAACUCUUCCACAUUCUGAAAAAGACUUGCCUCUGUUUUUAAGAGUCUUAUUAUUCUGCAAAGAGUUAAAAGUAAAUGGAUUACGCUACUCAGUAACAAAAAGUCAACUCAAUGGGCUGCAACUGAUGAAUAUUCUCAGAGAAAUACCACAAAGCGAACAAGAAGUACUUAUAAUAAUCUUGAAUUCCGGUAUUGCAAGAAUAAAGGCUUUGUC
Molecule: long non-coding RNA, 1500 nt
Organism: Mauremys reevesii (Reeves's turtle)
Lineage: Eukaryota; Metazoa; Chordata; Testudines; Geoemydidae
Exons: 3
Source: RefSeq, a predicted model, not a curated record